UACGAAGGGGGCUAGCGUUGUUCGGAAUUACUGGGCGUAAAGCGCACGUAGGCGGAUAUUUAAGUCAGGGGUGAAAUCCCAGAGCUCAACUCUGGAACUGCCUUUGAUACUGGGUAUCUUGAGUAUGGAAGAGGUAAGUGGAAUUGCGAGUGUAGAGGUGAAAUUCGUAGAUAUUCGCAGGAACACCAGUGGCGAAGGCGGCUCACUGGCCCGGUACUGACGCUGAGGUGCGAAAGCGUGGGGGGCAAACAGGG
RNAcentral lists this ribosomal RNA (254 nucleotides) under uncultured bacterium. RNAcentral's name for it is "partial 16S ribosomal RNA". It matches the Rfam family "Bacterial small subunit ribosomal RNA", at positions 524 to 777 of the family's 1533-position model. The record is from RNAcentral.